UGUAGUUCAUGAUCUGAUUGGGAAACUUAAUUUUAUUUCAUUUUGCUGAAUGCUUGGAUGAUUCGUGGUGGAUUUCAGGUUCGGGUGAUCUGUUAAUGUGCUAAAUCAGAUGGUACAUUAAUGGUAUUUUUGGAAUUAGCAUCUACUCUAUACGUGUAAAUUUUACAGUGCUGAAUAUGGAUUGCUGAUUUGGGGAGUUGCAGACUCAAUUAUCAAGGACAUGUAUCUAUAAGAACGGGUCUGGUCUGGAUGUUAAGUGACGGUAAAUCAAGUAAAUGGAAGUUAGCAAACUGUGGAAAUCAUAUUCGUUCCCAGAAAGUCCCAAGGAGGCUCUUCACCCGACCCAUGUCACUGCAAUAUUGGACAAGAGCUAAGGCCUAAGGUGGUCAUCUUGCUCGACAUAUUUGUUUGGGUGCUAUCGUGGGCGAUAUACCCACUUUGUUAGUUAAGAUUCAACUAUAUUCUUCCUCGGGACAAGCAGGAGAUGAUGGGAGUGAAGGCACUCCCAUGUUUCACAUGGUAUGUUCUGAACUUAAUUUCCAUGGUUUAUGGAACUGCUGAAUAUGUUAUAUAUCAACGCUACUAUGUUAGUAUCUCUUUCAUUUCUUCAGAAAAUUUUCUGUUCGGAGUGGCUUCAUAUGUUUGUUGAGGAAUCCUUAAGUUGUUCUAGAAGUUCCAAAAAAAGUGGGUCUAAUUCGUAUCUACGUUUUCUGUAAGUUCACAAAAAUAUUUCAAUAUCAUUUUGUUUUUGAAAGUGUUGUCUAAAAAUAUAUGUAGGGACAGAGCAAUUAGAGCGAGUCAUGGAAAUUUCAAACCAGAUUUUUCGAACCAAUGGUCACUGCAUUCACUUUCGUUCAUCCCAUGGUUGCAUCUCAUCUGUUAGACUGCUAUGAUAGUACUAAGCAUGAGUUGCUACUUGCUUGCACAGUAAAGCAGUCUGUUUAUGAAAUUUAGUUCAUUUUUCAUUGCUCAUAUUCAGAUAUCUAAAUUAUGAGAGCUGGUUUCCUAACAACUUCUAUUUUAUUUACUAAAGGCUGAAUCACAUAUUAUAAUAGAUGGUUCACUAAUUUCUAUCUUAUUUUUGUCAGUUCUUAGAGAACCUGUACAGCGUAUUCAAACAAACAAAACAUAUUAAUUUGAAGCUUUGUUCAUAAGUUGGAAGUAUGGCUCUUUUGCAUCCUUGUUCAUAAGUUUAUAGAGUGCAACUUCUUAUUUUGUCCUGGGGCAAUUUGAUGAGCAGUCAUGGUGCGAGCUCACCCAUUGAUAAAACAACGGGUUUGAUAGUUCAAUGCAAUCACAUGCAUUCCGUAUUGGGUUUCAAUCGCCAUUUCCAAUAGGAACACACUUGGUGAGCCAAGUGAACCACACCCGCUUGUGAUUGAGGCAUGAGAGGCACUCAGGAAAUCUGUAGUGUAUUUUCAUGGCCAACCAGUUGGUACAGUUGUUGCGGUAGAUCAUGCAUAUGAGGAAGUGCUCAAUUAUGAUCAGGUAAAACCCUUUAGCAUAUCUGAAAACAGGCCACUCUUUAUUUUCUAGAUACUGAUGUAUCUAAAUCUGUAAUUUAGCAUCUCCGGUUGCCUUGUAAUUUUCUUCAUUCACAUGCUGUAGAUAUAGUAAUGAUGAUGCUACAUUAUUCUGUGGCAUUUUGAGGAUAAUAUCUAUUAUAAACUGAUGAAACGGAAGGUGUUCACUUGGGGGGGCCUGUAUUAUCUGAUAUAAUUGAUGAAAUUUUGCUUUAUAAUUUGAUUAUCAUGGGCACUAUGGCUUUCGAUACUCUGCUUGCUCGUAGUCAUGGUUUGCAUUUUUUCCUAUUUUACUUAAAUAAUUGCUAUCUGACGAUUUACUUUUCAUGAUUUUAUCCUUACAAUGACAGGUUUUUGUCGGCAAUUUUGUUCCCACUGCGUUGGCUUUUCUGAUGAACAAAGAGCCCGGGAUAGUGAAGAACUUUCUAUUGAAAACUCUUCACUUGCAAAGCUCACAUUAAAUGGUGCCUGUGUUGAAUAGUGUUCCCACUCUUCUUCAACUUCAAGGAUUCCCCAAUGAUAGGCACGCACAAAAUUUUGUUUUUCGGUGCUGGAUAUCGCAGAGAGAUAUCAGUUGGACUUGCCUAGAUCUGCAUCCCAGCUUAGGAGAGCUUCCACAGUUGGCAGUUGUAGUCUGAAUCUUGUGCCAAAUUCCGAAGAUGCAUAGGCUGAAUCGAUCGAUUACACUUCUGAGUUUCAUUGCAUCUCUAUCAGGCACGGACACCCAUCCACGAAAGCUCAGGAGGAUGGACAGAGCAAGAGGAAGAAAACCUACAACACAAUUUUCCAAAAGCGGCGAAUUUUGGUGUUGCGAGUUGCAGGUGAAUGAUCUUUCUAUGUUGUUUGUGUACGUCGGAGUCUGAAGAUUAUGUUGAUUCCUUUCAUUGUUAUCCUGUAAAUAUGACCUAAGUGUCUGUUGUGGCGGUGUUUCUAUGCACCUUAUGUGGAUGGAGCUUGUACUAUUGCGCCAUGCUCGAUUUAUGUGUUUGCCGUUUUGAUCCGUCUUGCUGUAGACAAAGACUUUUUCUAAAAUUAAUCUAUUUUCAUUUUCAAGUAGAUACAAAUGCAAGGCCUUAUAACUGUCAUUAAUUAUUAUUUAGCAUAAUGAUGUUAUUAGUAUCAUUUAUGAGCGUUAUUGAAAUAUAUAUUUGCCUAUUUUCAUUGUAUACAAGUGUUUUCUACUCCGUGCUUGAUUUUGUCUGUUUUAUCCUAAUUUUACCUGCGGAUUUCAUUUUGUAAAAUUAAAAUGAACAUA
Lolium rigidum is the source of this 2778-nucleotide long non-coding RNA. RefSeq lists it as uncharacterized. The record is from RefSeq and is a predicted model, not a curated record. The transcript is spliced from 8 exons. NCBI's taxonomy places the organism in Eukaryota, Viridiplantae, Streptophyta, Magnoliopsida, Poales, Poaceae.